Molecule: ribosomal RNA, 255 nt
Filed under: uncultured bacterium
Lineage: Bacteria
Description: partial 16S ribosomal RNA
Rfam family: Bacterial small subunit ribosomal RNA
Source: RNAcentral
UACGUAGGUGACAAGCGUUGUCCGGAUUUACUGGGCGUAAAGCGCGCGCAGGCGGUUCUUCAAGUCAGUGGUGAAAGCCCGGAGCUCAACUCCGGAAUUGCCAUUGAAACUGUAGAACUUGAGGAUGAGAGAGGUGAGUGGAAUUCCCAGUGUAGAGGUGAAAUUCGUAGAUAUUGGGAAGAACACCGGUGGCGAAGGCGGCUCACUGGCUCAUUUCUGACGCUCAGGCGCGACAGCGUGGGGAUCGAAACAAGG